UGCAUGAGAGGUUUUUUGGUUUCUUUACAUUGCUAAUUAUUAGCAGAAAGGGUAUUAAUUCAGUAAUACUGUAAAUAUUACAAUUGUGUUAAACUAAUUCAGAAGACACUACUUAUCACCGAAGUUGGAGGAAGCAUCUCAGAAGUGACCAUCUCACUUUCUAGAAAUAGGGAGUGAAGUCACCUCGGGUAUAAUAUUAUCCAUCCCGGGCACAGCUUUCCGCCCACUGCAGUCCUAGGGCACAUUGGACUAAUCGUGUCUCCCUCCCCCAAAUCUGAACAGUUGCGAGCUCAUAUUCAUUUACAAGGUGAGUGCUUCGGGCUUCUUAGUUCUGCGAAUAAGAACCACUGUACCAAGGGGUGAACGUGAGCAGUGUCAACAGCAGAGCGGUGGAAAAAUUUAUCUGUAUCUUUAUGCCUAAUACCAGCCCCACAUUCUUGAAGUUCCAAAAGAGUAAAAUUUAUAUUAAGUAGAAACUUGAAGAAAAGGGCAGGAAGAGAGAGCCAAACAGCAUAAUGAAAUUCAAGGCCCUGCUUGGAAAAAAAAUGCAGCCUAGACUGACUAGGCA
This 568-nucleotide long non-coding RNA is filed under the name Bos taurus (domestic cattle). RNAcentral describes it as "long non-coding RNA NONBTAT016549". Lineage: Eukaryota; Metazoa; Chordata; Mammalia; Artiodactyla; Bovidae. The record is from RNAcentral.